Long non-coding RNA from Ictalurus furcatus (blue catfish), 251 nucleotides. RefSeq lists it as uncharacterized. The record is from RefSeq and is a predicted model, not a curated record. Lineage: Eukaryota; Metazoa; Chordata; Actinopteri; Siluriformes; Ictaluridae. The transcript is spliced from 3 exons.
CACAAAGCGUCCCUUUGUGCUAUAUCCAUGGUCUCAUACUUAGUGAGUUUGAUUAUUCUUCUCAUAGUCAUCCGUCUGAACCAGCUGAGGUAAACGAUCAUGAUGGUGAAAGAGGUGGUCUUGCUGUGGACGCUGGCUCGAUUGGCAGCUUCAUCACAAUUCCUGGAUAUCAGCAAUAAAACACUGGCAAACAUUCCUGCCACCUACGAUGUAAACAUAACCAGUUUAAUCCUGCACCACAACCGCAUCGU